RNAcentral lists this ribosomal RNA (253 nucleotides) under uncultured bacterium. RNAcentral's name for it is "partial 16S ribosomal RNA". It matches the Rfam family "Bacterial small subunit ribosomal RNA", at positions 524 to 776 of the family's 1533-position model. The record is from RNAcentral.
UACGAAGGGGGCUAGCGUUGCUCGGAAUCACUGGGCGUAAAGGGCGCGUAGGCGGCUUCUCAAGCGUGUGGUGAAAGUCCGGGGCUCAACCCCGGGAGGCGGGUGGAUACUGUCGAGCUAGAGUCCGGAAGAGGCGAGUGGAAUUCCUGGUGUAGCGGCGAAAUGCGCAGAUAUCAGGAGGAACACCAAUGGCGAAGGCAGCUCGCUGGGACGUGACUGACGCUGAGACGCGAAAGCGUGGGGAGCAAACAGG